RNAcentral lists this ribosomal RNA (649 nucleotides) under uncultured Lachnospiraceae bacterium. RNAcentral describes it as "bacterial SSU rRNA". It matches the Rfam family "Bacterial small subunit ribosomal RNA", at positions 67 to 731 of the family's 1533-position model. Lineage: Bacteria; Bacillati; Bacillota; Clostridia; Lachnospirales; Lachnospiraceae. The record is from RNAcentral.
UUGAAACUUCGGUCGAUUUAAUUUAAUUCUAGUGGCGGACGGGUGAGUAACGCGUGGGUAACCUGCCUUAUACAGGGGGAUAACAGUCAGAAAUGGCUGCUAAUACCGCAUAAGCGCACAGAGCUGCAUGGCUCAGUGUGAAAAACUCCGGUGGUAUAAGAUGGACCCGCGUUGGAUUAGCUAGUUGGUGGGGUAACGGCCCACCAAGGCGACGAUCCAUAGCCGGCCUGAGAGGGUGAACGGCCACAUUGGGACUGAGACACGGCCCAGACUCCUACGGGAGGCAGCAGUGGGGAAUAUUGCACAAUGGGGGAAACCCUGAUGCAGCGACGCCGCGUGAAGGAAGAAGUAUCUCGGUAUGUAAACUUCUAUCAGCAGGGAAGAUAGUGACGGUACCUGACUAAGAAGCCCCGGCUAACUACGUGCCAGCAGCCGCGGUAAUACGUAGGGGGCAAGCGUUAUCCGGAUUUACUGGGUGUAAAGGGAGCGUAGACGGUGUGGCAAGUCUGAUGUGAAAGGCAUGGGCUCAACCUGUGGACUGCAUUGGAAACUGUCAUACUUGAGUGCCGGAGGGGUAAGCGGAAUUCCUAGUGUAGCGGUGAAAUGCGUAGAUAUUAGGAGGAACACCAGUGGCGAAGGCGGCUUACUG